ACACAUAUAUUUGCGACACAUAAAUGUGUCGUAGAUUUGCGACACGAAUUGCAACCAUUUGUGACAAAAAACCAAAAACGUUGCAAAUUUAACCAAAUUUCGUCGUAAAAAAAUGACCAUCCAAGAAUGUCGCCAAUUUUGUCGCAAAAGUUUUUACGCCUACCAUGUAAUGGUUUGCGACACAAGUUGCGACACAGGUUGCGACAUAUUAGUUGCGACGAUCUAUUGGCGUCGCAAACUUUGUUGCAAAUGUUGGCACCUAGCAUGCAAUUGGUAUGCGACAUAGAUUGCGACACAUUAUUUGAAACGAUUUUUUGGCGUCGCAAAUUGUGUCGCAAAAUUUGCCACACAUGAAAUGGGUUUGCGACACAGUUGGCGAUACAUCAUUUGCAACGAUCAAUUAUUGUCGCAAAAUGUGUCACAAAUUUUAAUAAUAAAAAAGUAUAUUUCUCCCAUUCAAAAAGGUAGGUUUUGGUUUAUAUAUGGGUAAAUGCAAGAGAAGUCAAGACCUCAUUUUCAACCCUUAACCUUUACUCUUCUUCACUUCCUUCACAAGUUUUUAGAUUUUUCACAAAUUAUGCAUGAUUAUUUGGUAUUAGAGCCUCCAAAACCUUAUUCUUGGUGAUUUAAGUUGGUAUGUCUCUCUCUCUCUCUUUCUCUCCUCCCCUUUCUCUCUUGAAUUUGCUUUUAUCUGUUUUAUUUUAUUUUAUUUUUACUUUGAUUGAGGAAAGGUUUUUAUUUGGGAAUCCAUCCAUUUUCUUAAACCUGAACAGGUAUACACAAAUUUUUGAGGGAAACCGACCACAUGCAGUCAACACUGGAUGGGCCAUGUUAACUCUUAUUGAAGCUGGACAGCCAAUCCAUUCUUCCAUCCAAUCCAUUCUCCAUCAAUCCAUUUCUUCUCUUGAAACCCUAUCUAAGAAGAGCAUCCCAUUUUCCUGGCAAUGAAACCCUAGCUGAGUUGCGACGAUGAGGGCUUCCAUGGCGCUUGGUACGAGGCCACGGUUGCUCGCCUCUUGAACGGAAGCCUCCGCUUGUCGAUCAUAUACACCUCGCUUCUCUCCGACUUCGAAAGCUUCGCGCAGCGGUGGCCUCCGGCGAGGCCCUGAAGGACGCCUGGAAAGGAGCCAACGAAGGGUUUGAAACCUUAGCAUUCGAGUCCCGGAGAAUCGUUGAGCGUCUCGACCGCAGGUUUGCAAUUUCCCGCCGCCUCGACACUGCUGCACAGGCCGCUGCCGCCCGUGCCCGCGAGCUGGACCAGGAGCUAGGUAUUGAGCUUCGAUGGCGCUCAUUUUCUGUGGAUUUCUCGCGCAACUGGCCCAGGGUCGAUCUUCAAAUUUAACUGCCUUUGUCUUGGUUGAAGACUGAAGUAAGGGAAUUGGGAGAGGAGGGUGUACGAGCCAGAAGCUUAUAGCUGAUUGAACCAAUAAAAGUUAGUCUUGAGUUCAAGAAUCCACUUCAGAUUCCAAUUUUCCUUUUUGGAAUCUCUGUUAUAUUCGGGCUUUCUCCUAGAUCUGAGGCUACAGAGUUUGAAGACGCAGAAGUUGAAUGUGAUGCAGAGUUUGCAGUGCCCGUGCCCCCUAUUUCUAGGGACGUAAAUGUUGAUUCGCAAUGCACAUUAUUAGAGGUUGGCUUGGUAUUAGGAGGAGCUGAGAUUAAAAGGGCAAUAUCAGGCAUCAAGCUUACACCAGCUUAAGAGAGAAAGAGAGAGAGACAGGAGUGUCAGAAUAGGCUCACAGGGAGAGAAGAAAAUUUGAAAAGAAGUGUUUGUGUUGAGAGAGUGACAUGAUAUGGUAGACACAUGGACACCUUGCACGUGUGUAUGCUUGCUUAUGCAUGCAUUUGACCUAAUUAAAAUGGUCCAGUGCUGUUUCCUCACAUGGACACCUUGUUGAGGAGAUAGAUUCUGAUAAUUCUCAUUUGCAAUCGCAGAGGUCUACUUUGGGAACUCAACAAUCUAUGCCUUCUAUGCCUCCAGAGGUUAUGAGUAAGUUGGAAUUUUUAGAGAAAGCAUACGAGGAGCAGAAGCAGCAGAACCAGUACAUCAUUUCUUUAUUAGAAUCCUGAGGUAUUCAGGUAAACUUUGAGAAAACUCCUCGUACUUCUCAUGCUCCUGCCAGGACCGGAGAGUCUGCUUCCCAUGCCCCUCACACUUCAUAGGAUGUUGAACAGCCUCAGCCUAUCGAUGAUAUUGCAACAAAAUGAAUAUGGUGUUUUGGAUUAUUACAUUAGAUACUUGGAUUAUUACAUUUUGGACUAUUACAUUUUGUAUUUGUUUGUUGUAUUGGAUGUUUGAACUAUUAUAUUUUGUAAUGCAUUGUUAUUCUAGAUAUUUACCAAUUGGAAUGGU
Dioscorea cayenensis subsp. rotundata (Guinea yam) is the source of this 2350-nucleotide long non-coding RNA. RefSeq lists it as uncharacterized. The record is from RefSeq and is a predicted model, not a curated record. The transcript is spliced from 8 exons. Lineage: Eukaryota; Viridiplantae; Streptophyta; Magnoliopsida; Dioscoreales; Dioscoreaceae.